RNAcentral lists this ribosomal RNA (449 nucleotides) under uncultured bacterium. Its description in RNAcentral is "partial 16S ribosomal RNA". It matches the Rfam family "Bacterial small subunit ribosomal RNA", at positions 29 to 523 of the family's 1533-position model. The record is from RNAcentral.
AACGAACGCUGGCGGCAUGCCUAACACAUGCAAGUCGAACGAAGCCUUCGGGCUUAGUGGCGCACGGGUGCGUAACGCGUGGGAAUCUGCCCUUUGGUUCGGAAUAACAGUUGGAAACGACUGCUAAUACCGGAUGAUGACGAAAGUCCAAAGAUUUAUCGCCAGAGGAUGAGCCCGCGUAGGAUUAGCUAGUUGGUGUGGUAAAGGCGCACCAAGGCGACGAUCCUUAGCUGGUCUGAGAGGAUGAUCAGCCACACUGGGACUGAGACACGGCCCAGACUCCUACGGGAGGCAGCAGUGGGGAAUAUUGGACAAUGGGCGAAAGCCUGAUCCAGCAAUGCCGCGUGAGUGAUGAAGGCCCUAGGGUUGUAAAGCUCUUUUACCCGGGAUGAUAAUGACAGUACCGGGAGAAUAAGCCCCGGCUAACUCCAUGCCAGCAGCCGCCGCGG